Molecule: ribosomal RNA, 304 nt
Filed under: uncultured bacterium
Lineage: Bacteria
Description: partial 16S ribosomal RNA
Rfam family: Bacterial small subunit ribosomal RNA
Source: RNAcentral
CAGCAGUCGCCACGGUAAUACGUAGGUGGCAAGCGUUGUCCGGAAUUAUUGGGCGUAAAGGGCUCGCAGGCGGUUUCUUAAGUCUGAUGUGAAAGCCCCCGGCUCAACCGGGGAGGGUCAUUGGAAACUGGGAAACUUGAGUGCAGAAGAGGAGAGUGGAAUUCCACGUGUAGCGGUGAAAUACGUAGAGAUGUGGAGGAACACCAGUGGCGAAGGCGACUCUCUGGUCUGUAACUGACGCUGAGGAGCGAAAGCGUGGGGAGCGGACAGGAUUAGAUACCCCCGUAGUCCCUGUCUCUUAUAC